This 520-nucleotide unclassified non-coding RNA is filed under the name uncultured Glomus. RNAcentral describes it as "SSU rRNA". It matches the Rfam family "Eukaryotic small subunit ribosomal RNA", at positions 569 to 1095 of the family's 1831-position model. The record is from RNAcentral. Lineage: Eukaryota; Fungi; Glomeromycota; Glomeromycetes; Glomerales; Glomeraceae.
AGCAGCCGCGGUAAUUCCAGCUCCAAUAGCGUAUAUUAAAGUUGUUGCAGUUAAAAGCUCGUAGUUGAAUUUCGGGAUCAGUUGGUCGGUCGUGCCUCGGUACGUACUGGUCAAAUUGAUUCCUACCUUCUGACGAACCACGAUGUCAUUAAUUUGGUGUCGCGGGAAAUCAGGACUGUUACUUUGAAAAAUUAGAGUGUUUAAAGCAGGCUCGCGCUUGAAUACAUUAGCAUGGAAUAAUGAAAUAGGACGUUUGAUUCUAUUUUGUUGGUUUCUAGGAUCGACGUAAUGAUUAAUAGGGAUAGUUGGGGGCAUUAGUAUUCAAUUGUCAGAGGUGAAAUUCUUGGAUUUAUUGAAGACUAACUACUGCGAAAGCAUUUGCCAAGGAUGUUUUCAUUAAUCAAGAACGAAAGUUAGGGAUCGAAGACGAUCAGAUACCGUCGUAGUCUUAACCAUAAACUAUGCCGACUAGGGAUCGGAUGAUGUUAAUUUUUAAUGACUCAUUCGGCGCCUUACGGGA